Long non-coding RNA from Haliotis rubra (blacklip abalone), 1327 nucleotides. RefSeq lists it as uncharacterized. The transcript is spliced from 3 exons. NCBI's taxonomy places the organism in Eukaryota, Metazoa, Mollusca, Gastropoda, Lepetellida, Haliotidae. The record is from RefSeq and is a predicted model, not a curated record.
CCCAUCUGUAUCCAAAAGUAGCCCAGUGACUGGUGAACAAAGAAAACGAAGAAGGUGUGAGCUACCUGCUGACAAAUAUUCAUGGAGUUGCAGCGGUAGCAAGGGAAACAGGGGAUUCUACCUAGUUGAUUACCCACAGCUGGGGUAUAACGUCACAUCCACUGUAGCGCCAUACAGCUGGAAUUAUACUAAUAUAGAUACGUCUGUAAUGGUGACGGUGGGUGUGGAAACUAAGGCUGUCGUAAUCCACGUCUUCGGUAAGGACAUCAGUAUUAACGGAUACAGUGGAUAUGGUGCGUUUAUCCCCUCCGAUCUCGGCCCUCAGUCCAAGGUAUGCAGUGUCCACCUGCCUGGUUUACACGGAUUAUGUGGUGUUAGUGAUUGCUAACUACAACCAGAAGACGGACGUGGACAUAACGCUGAUGCUGGAGGGGAACCUCACCUAUGACAACAUGACAUACAACGACGGAGACACGAUUCACGUGAGUCUAGAUGAGUAUCAGACCUUCACGUUGAAGAGCGCCUAUGACCUGACUGGAACUGUUAUCAACACAACACGUGCUGUAGCUGUGUUUCAGUGGGGCAAUGGAAGGACGUGAUGUCAAAGCCGUUGCACAACUAUUACCUGUACGACAUCAUGGUACAGAGUUUGUCCUGUCUACACAGGAUUUAUCCUCUGAAAGGGGCCCUGCAUACCAGCUGCAAAUUGUUGAGUGACCAGUUCGACGCUGAAAUUAUGUUGAACAAUGGAUCUAUAUUCUCUCUUGGUGACAACCGUGUGUAUCGUCAAAACCUCGUGUAUAACGAGACACUGUAUUUUAAUACCACAAGACCUGUCAUUGCAACCUUGUGUAGAGUCGGCGCACUAGUACACUCCACAUGGGUUUGUUGUUUGUAACUCCAGUUGAAAUAUUUUAUUAACAAUGCACAGGUUCAUUAUGCACAAUGUAUAAACAUACUGACUAAACAACACGUAACAGAUAUUGAAGUAUUUAGCAGCGACAUGACCCUGCUACAAUGGACUGGGUGGACAUCCCUCGUAGUGAUUACAAACAGGGAACAGCUUGUUUACUCGAGAGUUACUUUGUCCGCUCUACCAACAGAUUCGCUCUGUAUGUGUUUCGCUACGAUAUUAUCACAGGAGGCUACCAUUUCCCAGCUGAUCAAUCAACCACACCUGCUACUACAGGUCUCGAGGACAAGUCGUGCUUGAAAAGUCAAAACUUGGAAACCUGUGAUACACAUUCCAUGUGGACUUAUGAGAACGUGAUUGUUUAUCCAUUGAUUGUUUCCUUUAAAAGUAUAAGAUUAAAACAUUUCUGUGUGA